CCUACGGGCGGCAGCAGUGGGGAAUAUUGGACAAUGGGGGGAACCCUGAUCCAGCCAUGCCGCGUGUGUGAAGAAGGCCCUCGGGUUGUAAAGCACUUUCAGUGAGGAAGAACGCCUGGUGGUUAAUACCCAUCAGGAAAGACAUCACUCACAGAAGAAGCACCGGCUAACUCCGUGCCAGCAGCCGCGGUAAUACGGAGGGUGCGAGCGUUAAUCGGAAUUACUGGGCGUAAAGCGCGCGUAGGUGGCUUGAUAAGCCGGUUGUGAAAGCCCCGGGCUCAACCUGGGAACGGCAUCCGGAACUGUCAAGCUAGAGUGCAGGAGAGGAAGGUAGAAUUCCCGGUGUAGCGGUGAAAUGCGUAGAGAUCGGGAGGAAUACCAGUGGCGAAGGCGGCCUUCUGGACUGACACUGACACUGAGGUGCGAAAGCGUGGGAAGCAAACAGGAUUAGAUACCCUUGUAGUC
Molecule: ribosomal RNA, 465 nt
Filed under: Vreelandella stevensii
Lineage: Bacteria; Pseudomonadati; Pseudomonadota; Gammaproteobacteria; Oceanospirillales; Halomonadaceae
Description: partial 16S ribosomal RNA
Rfam family: Bacterial small subunit ribosomal RNA
Source: RNAcentral